ACUCCUACGGGAGGCAGCAGUGGGGAAUAUUGGACAAUGGGCGCAAGCCUGAUCCAGCAAUGCCGCGUGUGUGAAGAAGGCCUUCGGGUUGUAAAGCACUUUUAUCAGGAGCGAAAUACUACCGGCUAAUAUCCGGUGGGGCUGACGGUACCUGAGGAAUAAGCACCGGCUAACUUCGUGCCAGCAGCCGCGGUAAUACGAAGGGUGCAAGCGUUAAUCGGAAUUACUGGGCGUAAAGCGUGCGUAGGCGGUUAUUUAAGUCUGUUGUGAAAUCCCCGGGCUCAACCUGGGAAUGGCAAUGGAUACUGGAUAGCUAGAGUGUGAUAGAGGAUGGUGGAAUUCCCGGUGUAGCGGUGAAAUGCGUAGAGAUCGGGAGGAACAUCAGUGGCGAAGGCGGCCAUCUGGAUCAACACUGACGCUGAGGCACGAAAGCGUGGGGAGCAAACAGGAUUAGAAACCCCUGUAGUCC
This 469-nucleotide ribosomal RNA is filed under the name uncultured bacterium. RNAcentral describes it as "bacterial SSU rRNA". It matches the Rfam family "Bacterial small subunit ribosomal RNA", at positions 335 to 796 of the family's 1533-position model. The record is from RNAcentral.